RNAcentral lists this ribosomal RNA (1004 nucleotides) under Schistosoma japonicum. Its description in RNAcentral is "16S ribosomal RNA". The stretch from base 666 to 955 matches the Rfam family "Bacterial large subunit ribosomal RNA", at positions 2075 to 2645 of the family's 2925-position model. The record is from RNAcentral. Lineage: Eukaryota; Metazoa; Platyhelminthes; Trematoda; Strigeidida; Schistosomatidae.
UUUAAGAUUAGAGUCUGCUGUAAAUAGUUUUGUCUUUGGUUAAAGUACCUUUUGCAUCAUGAUUCUUUGAGAUGUUUAGAUUAUUUCUAGUUCCCGAAUGGCUUAUGAUUUUCAUUGAUUCAUAGCAAGUUUGUGCAUAGAUAAGUUGUUGUGUAAACAUUUGUAGAAAUCAUUGAGGUUGUGAUAAAUAAUUCGUAUAGUCUGAUAACUGGUUUAUAGCUUGAUUAUUUCAACGAGAUAAAGAUUGAUUGUGUUUAUCUUUACUGAUAGAGAUAGUUUAUAUGUUGUUGUUGAGUCUUGGAUUAGAAUUGUCCUAGGAUAAGUUAGUUAUUUACUUGACAUUUUAUUUGUAUGUUUUCUUAUUGUUGAUGGCUAUAUUCUUAAUUAUUUGUUUAAUAAUGAAGAAAUGAGUAGGAUUAUGUUUUAUUAGUCCGUUAUUUGUCUUUAAUUCUGUUCAACUGUUUAUCAAAAACAUUGCUAUUUGUUGGAUUUAAAUAGUAUGGCCUGCCCAAUGUUGUAAAUUAAUGGUCGCAGUUUUACUGUGCUAAGGUAGCAUAAUAUAUCGCUUCUUAAUUAGUGGCUUGUGAAUGGUUUAAUGAAAUAGAAUAUUUAAAUGAUGACUAUAUCUGAAAUUGAUUUAGUGGUGCGGAAUCCAUUGUUAUAAUAUAAGACGGAAAGACCCCGAGAUCUUGAAUUAAUUUUCUAAUUUUGUUUGGGGUAAAUGUAUAUAUUUCAUUUAUUUUUAGAUCCUAUAUAUUGAUGGAUAUAGGUUAAAGUUACCUCGGGGAUAACUGAGUAAAGAGUUGUGAGAGGUCUUAUUGAUCAACUUGUUACUACCUCGAUGUUGGCUUAAAGAACCUUUAUGGUGUAGCAGCUAUAUAAGGUGGUCUGUUCGACCAUUAAAUCUUUAUGAGUUGAGUUAAGACCGGUGUAAGCCAGGUCGGUUCUUAUCUAUAAGUGAGUCUAGUUAGUACGAAAGGAAUAUUAGAGUGUAAGAUGUUGCA